Molecule: ribosomal RNA, 117 nt
Filed under: Anolis carolinensis (green anole)
Lineage: Eukaryota; Metazoa; Chordata; Lepidosauria; Squamata; Anolidae
Source: RNAcentral
UGAUAUGACCAUAUCCUGAAUGCAUCAGAUUCCAUCUGGUCUUGGAAGAUAAAUAGGAUCACACUUGGUAAGUACUAGGAUGGGGGACUAUAAAAGAAUAUCAUAUAUAUAUAUUUG